Molecule: non-coding RNA, 206 nt
Filed under: Halalkalibacter krulwichiae
Lineage: Bacteria; Bacillati; Bacillota; Bacilli; Caryophanales; Bacillaceae
Description: Bacillus krulwichiae T-box sequence
Rfam family: T-box leader
About the family: Uncharged tRNA acts as the effector for transcription antitermination of genes in the T-box leader family. T-boxes are found upstream of many aminoacyl-tRNA synthetase genes and some amino acid biosynthetic genes usually in Gram-positive bacteria.
Source: RNAcentral
UACUAAGCGAAGAAUGAUCGAAGUAGUCCGAGCUUCCCUGUUUAAGAGAGCCAAUGGUUGGUGUGAAUUGGUAUAUAGGCUUGGGUGAAUUACAAUCAGGAGCUUUUCUUUGUGAUAAGCAAAGAACGGGAAUACCGUUAUAUAAUGAAGUGGGAGAAAGUUUUAUUUCUUCAACAAGGGUGGUAACGCGAGACCUCGUCCCUUUU